GACGUAGGGCGCGAGCGUUGUCCGGAUUUAUUGGGCGUAAAGGGCUCGUAGGCGGUUUGUCGCGUCGGGAGUGAAAUCCACUGGCUUAACUGGUAGCUUGCUUUCGAUACGGGCAGACUGGAGGUAUGCAGGGGAGAACGGAAUUCCUGGUGUAGCGGUGAAAUGCGCAGAUAUCAGGAGGAACACCGGUGGCGAAGGCGGUUCUCUGGGCAUGUCCUGACGCUGAGGAGCGAAAGUGUGGGGAGCGAACAGG
This 253-nucleotide ribosomal RNA is filed under the name uncultured bacterium. RNAcentral's name for it is "partial 16S ribosomal RNA". It matches the Rfam family "Bacterial small subunit ribosomal RNA", at positions 524 to 776 of the family's 1533-position model. The record is from RNAcentral.